This is a long non-coding RNA of Poecilia latipinna (sailfin molly), 1720 nucleotides long. RefSeq lists it as uncharacterized. The record is from RefSeq and is a predicted model, not a curated record. Lineage: Eukaryota; Metazoa; Chordata; Actinopteri; Cyprinodontiformes; Poeciliidae. The transcript is spliced from 2 exons.
UCUCUCCAUCAUGUGACGUCUACCCUUUCUUCCUCGGCUGCCAUCCGAAGCUGCUCUCACUAAAACAUGCCUCUUAAUGCUGCCCGCGGCUUUGUGAUGGCAGAAGGCUUCAGCAUACGGAGGAGUCGAUGAUCUACUCAGUUCUCCACCACCGUGCUUCGCUGUUGGUAUGAGAUGUGCAUUUCGGCCAGACAUCUUCACUUUGGUCCCAUGUGUGAACAUUGCUCUACAAGUCUUGCAACUCAGUCGGAUGCAACAUUUCAAACACUACUCUCCUCCGAAAUGUAAGCAAGAGGUUUUGAAAUCAGAAUCUAUUUUCCAAAAGGUUAUCUAAGUAGACAUCUCCUCUGACUUCUCAGUGCCCUCAGUGCCGAGCCACUCCAAAGGGAGAAGACAGAUGGAGGACGAUGACCGGACAACCCGGCACAUGGAACCAAGAUGUUCAUAGAUCUAUUGGAAGCAAUAAUCGCUUCCCUGAGGCCUGUACAAGUAUCUCCUCAUCUCCAUUGCAUGCCGCAGACCAGAAAACAGCCAAAAAAUGUUGCUUUUACAAAGGAAGUCACAACAACUGAUGAUCAACCAGUAAUCAGGUGAAUCUUAUCAGCAGCACCUUCAUAAAACGUUUGAUCUCGAGGAAGCAGCAAGGCUGUAAUUCAUUUUGGCUUCAUCUGAUAACAAGAGAAGAAUCUGUUCCAUGUGUUUGCACAACUGAAAUUAGGUUUAACUAAGAAAAACGAAAUGGAACUAGGAAAAGUCCAGCUUCUUUUCUUUCUGUCCUUCAAAGGACAAGCAGCUUAUGAACCACUAAUGCAUCAACAUUACAACUCCAGGCAUUGUACCAAGACGUUCUCACAGCUUUAGGAGAGCGCCGUUCUCUCUAACUCGAUGGAAUUAUCUGCGUGAUCAGUAAUGCAACUAACAGUCAGUAUUUAGCAUGGAUUUGAUAACAUCUGACUGGUCUGUUGCCGAGUCAGUGCUUGGUUGCUGCGGUGACACCGGGACUCAGUGGCAGAAUGAGAGGGGGAGGAUGAGUUGGUAAAACAAAAACAUGAUUCUUCACACUGAAUAACUAGUGGCGCAAAUAUACAUGCAAAGAUUAAUAUUCCAUCUAUCGUGAGGCGGUUUGAUUACAUGGGAUUGAUCCUGACACACACACAGCCUUAAAGUGGAAGAUGUUUGUACAGGAGGUUCAGUGGUUUAGACACGCGGGCCUCAGGGGUAAUGUGGACAGCAUUUAGUGUCUGUUUUUGACUCAGCAUUGUGUGUGUGUGUGUGUGUGUGUGUGUGUGUGUGUGUGUGUGUGUGUGUGUGUGUGUGUGCGUGAGUGCGCAGGGAGAAUCUAAGGUUGCAGGCAUUUUGUUCCUUAUAGACACAGAUCAACCACUAGAAUGAGGCUGGGUACUCAGAAUCACAAACUUCAAUGUAAUUUCUAGAGAUCUUGGGUGACAGAUCAACUUUUAUUAGUGCAUAGCUGUGAUAAAAAUGUGUUUUUGUUUUGUUUCUUUUUUCCCCCCAAAGAACAAUCUAAAAAGUGAUUCAAUACUUGUGCAGUUACACUCUGGCCAUCUCAAUUACUUUGCAGUGUUCAAGUCCUGCCAUUUAUUCUCAGUUAAGUUUAGACAUGGAACAUUUUAACACGUAUGGUUUGAUCUAAGCCAGGGGUGUCCAAACAUUUUGUUACAUGGGCCAAAACAAAAAUAAUUAAUAAAACUAAAAUCAC